Molecule: ribosomal RNA, 565 nt
Filed under: uncultured bacterium
Lineage: Bacteria
Description: bacterial SSU rRNA
Rfam family: Bacterial small subunit ribosomal RNA
Source: RNAcentral
GGCAGCAGUGGGGUAUAUUGGACAAUGGGCGCAAGCCUGAUCCAGCAAUACCGCGUGUGUGAAGAAGGCCUUAGGGUUGUAAAGCACUUUCAAUUGGGAGGAAAACCUGCCGGUCAAUACCCGGCAGCUUGACAUUACCUUUAGAAGAAGCACCGGCUAACUCCGUGCCAGCAGCCGCGGUAAUACGGAGGGUGCGAGCGUUAAUCGGAAUUACUGGGCGUAAAGCGUGCGUAGGCGGUUCGUUAAGUCAGAUGUGAAAGCCCCGGGCUUAACCUGGGAACUGCAUUUGAAACUGGCGGACUAGAGUUGAGUAGAGGGGAGUGGAAUUUCAUGUGUAGCGGUGAAAUGCGUAGAUAUCUGAAGGAACACCAGUGGCGAAGGCGACUCCCUGGACUCAAACUGACGCUGAGGUACGAAAGCGUGGGUAGCAAACAGGAUUAGAUACCCUGGUAGUCCACGCCGUAAACGAUGUCAACUAGCCGUUGGUCCUAUUUACAGGAUUAGUGGCGCAGCUAACGCAUUAAGUUGACCGCCUGGGGAGUACGGCCGCAAGGUUAAACUCAAA